GUGCUCAAUUCAACAGCACAUAUACUAAAACUGGAAUGAUACAAAGAAGAUUAACAAGGCCCCUGUGCAAGCAUGGCAUGCAAAUUUGUGAAGUGUUCCACAUUUUU
Phodopus roborovskii (desert hamster) is the source of this 107-nucleotide small nuclear RNA. The record is from RefSeq and is a predicted model, not a curated record. Lineage: Eukaryota; Metazoa; Chordata; Mammalia; Rodentia; Cricetidae.